This 72-nucleotide transfer RNA is filed under the name Ovis aries (sheep). It matches the Rfam family "tRNA". From Rfam's summary of the family: Transfer RNA (tRNA) molecules are approximately 80 nucleotides in length. Lineage: Eukaryota; Metazoa; Chordata; Mammalia; Artiodactyla; Bovidae. The record is from Rfam by way of RNAcentral.
UCCCUGGUGGCUCAGAUGGUAAAGCAUCUGUUUCCAGUGCAGGAGACCCGGGUUCAACCCCCAGGUUGGGAA